GAGAGGACGGUACCUUCAGUCAGUCGACCGGUGCGCAUCACAAAUAUCCACACGCAGACACGCACAGCGAAGCCAUGAGUGAGGAAACGAUCAGAUUGGUAUUUGGGGGAAUGAACAACAUAUUUUGUGUUGAAGGCAGGUUU
RNAcentral lists this long non-coding RNA (143 nucleotides) under Oreochromis niloticus (Nile tilapia). RNAcentral describes it as "lncRNA (ENSONIG00000028109.1)". Lineage: Eukaryota; Metazoa; Chordata; Actinopteri; Cichliformes; Cichlidae. The record is from RNAcentral.